GUUGACUGCCGGUGACAAACCGGAGGAAGGUGGGGAUGACGUCAAAUCAUCAUGCCCCUUAUGAUUUGGGCUACACACGUGCUACAAUGGACAAUACAAAGGGCAGCGAAACCGCGAGGUCAAGCAAAUCCCAUAAAGUUGUUCUCAGUUCGGAUUGUAGUCUGCAACUCGACUAUAUGAAGCUGGAAUCGCUAGUAAUCGUAGAUCAGCAUGCUACGGUGAAUACGUUCCCGGGUCUUGUACACACCGCCCGUCACACCACGAGAGUUUGUAACACCCGAAGCCGGUGGAGUAACCAUUUGGAGCUAGCCGUCGAAGGUGGGACAAAUGAUUGGGGUGAAGUCGUAACAAGGUAGCCGUAUCGGAAGGUGCGGCUGGAUCACCUCCUUUCUAAGGA
This 397-nucleotide ribosomal RNA is filed under the name Staphylococcus epidermidis. RNAcentral's name for it is "bacterial SSU rRNA". It matches the Rfam family "Bacterial small subunit ribosomal RNA", at positions 1144 to 1533 of the family's 1533-position model. Lineage: Bacteria; Bacillati; Bacillota; Bacilli; Caryophanales; Staphylococcaceae. The record is from RNAcentral.